This 227-nucleotide ribosomal RNA is filed under the name uncultured bacterium. RNAcentral's name for it is "partial 16S ribosomal RNA". It matches the Rfam family "Bacterial small subunit ribosomal RNA", at positions 523 to 747 of the family's 1533-position model. The record is from RNAcentral.
UAGCAGAGGGUGCAAGCGUUGUUCGGAAUUAUUGGGCGUAAAGGGCGCGUAGGCGGUGCGGUAAGUCUGUAGUGAAAUCUCUGGGCUCAACUCAGAGUCUGCUAUAGAAACUGCCGUGCUGGAGUGUGGGAGAGGUGAGUGGAAUUCCCGGUGUAGCGGUGGAAAUGCGUAGAUAUCGGGAGGAACACCUGUGGCGAAAGCGGCUCACUGGACCACAACGUGACGCU